UGGGGAAUAUUGCACAAUGGGCGAAAGCCUGAUGCAGCAACGCCGCGUGAGUGAUGAAGGCCUUCGGGUUGUAAAGCUCUGUCUUUUGGGACGAUAAUGACGGUACCAAAGGAGGAAGCCACGGCUAACUACGUGCCAGCAGCCGCGGUAAUACGUAGGUGGCAAGCGUUGUCCGGAUUUACUGGGCGUAAAGGAUGCGUAGGCGGAUUUUUAAGUGAGAUGUGAAAACCCUAAGCUUAACUUGGGGACUGCAUUUCAUACUGGAAAUCUAGAGUGCGGGAGAGGAGAAUGGAAUUCCUAGUGUAGCGGUGAAAUGCGUAGAGAUUAGGAAGAACACCAGUGGCGAAGGCGAUUCUCUGGACCGUAACUGACGCUGAGGCAUGAAAGCGUGGGUAGCAAACAGGAUUAGAUACCCUGGUAGUCCACGCCGUAAACGAUGAGUACUAGGUGUAGGAGGUAUCGACCCCCUUCUGUGCCGCAGUUAACACAAUAAGUACUCCGCCUGGGAAGUACGAUCGCAAGAUUAAAACUCAAAUGAAUUGACGGGGUCAUAGCUG
This 557-nucleotide ribosomal RNA is filed under the name uncultured bacterium. Its description in RNAcentral is "partial 16S ribosomal RNA". It matches the Rfam family "Bacterial small subunit ribosomal RNA", at positions 355 to 932 of the family's 1533-position model. The record is from RNAcentral.